Erythranthe guttata (spotted monkey flower) is the source of this 3069-nucleotide non-coding RNA. The record is from RefSeq and is a predicted model, not a curated record. Lineage: Eukaryota; Viridiplantae; Streptophyta; Magnoliopsida; Lamiales; Phrymaceae.
GUGUGUUUGUGUGUCCAAACACCCAACUCCUCCAUAGAAUCAGUCUACAGAAAAUUGAAUUGAACUUCGCCCAAAUUCCGAAAUCGACACGCAACACACGCUCAACUGUGCGAGAGAGAAAGAGAGCGAAAAUCGACUCGGCGAUGAGUUAUUAUCGGGCGCCAUUCUCAGAGUCGAAGAACCCAGAUUCCCGACUAAUUACAUCACCACUCUUAGUGUUAUUUAUUUGAUGAAAUGGAUGAUAAAGUGGUUGAGGUAGAUAUGGAAAAAAGGCAGAGAAACGGGAAAUCACAAACCGAAAACAACGAGGAUGUAGCCGAAAAUUUAAGUGGAAAUUCAACCAAUCAAGCCGAAGACGAGAAUAAGAACAAACCAUAUAUAGGUAUGGAAUUCGAUUCUCAAGAAUCCGCAAAGGACUUGUACGAUACAUACGCAAGAAGAGUCGGUUUCACCACGCACGUGGGCCAAUACAUUCGUAGCAAUCCAGAUGGUCCAAUUGUCUCGUUGGAAUUCUUCUGUUCAAGAGAGGUUUACAAACGGAAAAAUAUCGAGAGCUGCAAUGCAAUGCUUCGAAUCGAGAGUAAAGAUUCCGAAAAUUGGGUUGUCACCAAAUUCGUCGAGGAUCACAAUCACUCUCUCGUGGGCCCCAGCAAGGUCCAUUUCCUCAGGCCCCGCCGCCACUUUGCCGGAGCUGCUGCAAAGAAAGCCCCCGCGCUAACUGAGGUAGCCGAUAAUAACCAAAACGACAUCAUGGUUUCUGUCGAUGGAAACCAUGUUUUUGUUGAUCCAAAUGAAAAUGCUCCUUCAAUGCCGUUGCAUUUUAUUCAGCCUUGUAGCAGAAGAAGAACUCUCGGUAGAGACGCGCAUAAUCUCCUCACCUAUUUCAAGAAAAUGCAGUCCGAAAACCCUGGUUUCUAUUACGCAAUACAGCUGGACGAAGAGAAUCGGUUGAGCAAUGUUUUCUGGGCUGAUGCGAGAUCGAGAACAGCUUACAACCACUUUGGUGACGCAGUUGUUUUCGAUACUAUGUACAGGCCUAACCAGUUUCAGGUACCGUUUGCGCCCUUCACAGGAGUGAACAAUCACGGGCAAAUGGUCUUGUUCGGAUGUGCGCUGCUAUUGGACGAAUCAGAAUCUUCUUUCGCUUGGGUUUUCGAGACUUGGCUCUCUGCAAUGAACAAUCGUCGCCCAGUGUCGAUAACCACCGACCAAGAUAGAGCCAUUAAAGCGGCGGUUAAUCGGGUUUUUCCGCAAACCCGUCACUGCAUUUGCAAGUGGCAUAUAUUACGAGAAGGCCAAGAAAGAUUGGCACAUGUGUAUCUCUCUCAUCCUUCCUUUCAUGGAGAGCUUUACAGCUGCAUCAACUUUUCUGAGACAAUCGAGGAUUUCGAAUCGGCGUGGAGCUUGAUUCUUGAUAGAUAUGAUAUCGGAAAAAACGAGUGGCUUCACGCUGUGUAUAACGCUAGGAAGCAAUGGGCGCCCGUUUAUUUUCGUGACACGUUUUUCGCUGCGCUCUCUUCGAACCACGGAGUGAGUUCCUUCUUCGAAGGGUACGUGAAUCAGCAGACAACAAUACCCAUGUUCUUCAAACAGUACGAACGUGCUUUGGAGAAUUCUUUAGAAAGGGAAAUCGAAGCAGAUUACUACACAAACUGUACAUCGCCGGUACUAAAAACACCGUCUCCAAUGGAACAACAGGCGGCUAAUCUAUACACGAAAAAGGUGUUCGAGAAGUUUCAAGAAGAACUCGUCGAGACUUUUGUGCACACAGCCAAUAAGAUCGACGGUGAUGGUUCGGUCAGUAAAUUUAGGGUUGCGAAAUACGAGCAAGAUCACAAAGCGUACAUAGUAAUGUUAGACGUUUCCGAAAUGAACGCGAGUUGCAGCUGUCAAAUGUUUGAGUAUUCGGGAGUUUUGUGCAGACACAUAUUGACUGUUUUUACUGUAACAAAUGUUCUAACGGUUCCCUCACAUUAUAUACUAAAGAGGUGGACGAAGAAUGCUAGAUCCGCCAGCCUGGUGGACGAGCAAUACACGGGGGUUCAGUGUAUGGAGUCUCUCUCUGUUCGUUUCAACAGUCUUUGUCGAGAAGCACUUAAGUUCGCCGAGGAGGGAGCUGUUUGUACGGAUACUUACAGUGCAGCUAUGGAGGCUUUAAAAGACGGUGAGAAGAAGAUUGCACAAGUGAAAAGAAGUGUCGGAAAAAAUAAACAGGAUAAUGGUAGCAAAAAACCCUCUACACCAACUCCUGAUAAGAUACCGUCUUUAUGGCCGUGGCAAGAUUCUGUGCCUAGUCGAUUUAAUCUGAACGACAGUGGGGCCCACAUUGCUGAUUUGAGUCAGCCAACUAUGGCGCCGAUAGCUAUAAACCGUGAUGGCACACUUGCUGAUAAUACGGUUGUUCUCACUUGUUUUAAGUCGAUGACGUGGAUCCUAGAGAAUAAAAACCCGACAAGUAAAGUAGCUCUAAUUAAUUUGAAGGCAGCUCCAAGAUUAUGGGAGAGCUACUUCAGGAGAAACGGAGGUGCAGUUUAGACUAACGAGAGCCACUUUGGAGCCGAUGUUGAAAUCCAUGGCUUACAUAAGUCAACAGCUUUCAACUCCGGCUAACAAAGUUGCAGUUAUCAAUCUAAAGCUCCAUGAUGCAUCAACAACUGGAGAAACGGAGGUGAAAUUUCAAGUCUCGAAAGAAACUUUAGGUUCGAUGUUAAGAUCGAUGGCUUAUAUCAGGGAGCAACUAUGACAUCGAGCAAGAAGAUCUCAGACGAGAAAUUGUCCGAGUUAGACCGUAAUUUUUGUACACGUAGCAGGCGUUCAUUCAUCUUGUGUACUACUUACCACAGUUCUUCUCUCUAACGGUAAGCUGUAGAUUCAUUUAUUCAGUUAAACCGAAAAUUUUAAGACAUAGAUGUAAAUUCGAGUUGUGAAAAAAUAAUACGAAAUAAUGAUUAGUGUAUGUGAUCGAUUCAUUGUAGAAGUUAGGUUAGCUUAUUUCACUUGUUCGGCUCGUUUGUUCUGUAGAUAUUAGUUGAGGCCAUUCUUAAAUUUGACGAAAGCUUCAAAUUCCAA